CCCUAUUAUUAGUGAAAUAAAAAAAAUUAGGGAGUAGGAAAACUGAAAACUAUCCAGAAUGGCGGUUUUUUUUAUUCUCAGAUAAAUGUGUUUUGAAAACGAAAGUGCACGAAUAUCUUUCUUGGUCUUGAAAAUCCAUCCUGUACACCGCCGUCUGAAGGAUCAGCUUAAAUAGUUAAUUCUAUUUCUUCUAGGAAAUAAGUCAGGUUAGGUGCAGAUAAUGGUCAAGAAAAAAUGCAUUUCACUAAAUUAACAAGGGAAAUUUGAAACAAUUUACUUAAGUUGAAUUUGAAAGUAAGGUUUUUUAAUGAAAAAAAUCUGAAAUAAUACCAAAAAAAUGUACACAUCGCCC
This 352-nucleotide ribosomal RNA is filed under the name Columbicola emersoni. Its description in RNAcentral is "partial 12S ribosomal RNA". The record is from RNAcentral. Lineage: Eukaryota; Metazoa; Arthropoda; Insecta; Psocodea; Philopteridae.